Non-coding RNA from Epinephelus lanceolatus (giant grouper), 280 nucleotides. RefSeq annotates it as small Cajal body-specific RNA 6. The record is from RefSeq and is a predicted model, not a curated record. NCBI's taxonomy places the organism in Eukaryota, Metazoa, Chordata, Actinopteri, Perciformes, Serranidae.
GGUCAGUGAUGAGCAGUAAAAGGUCUGAUUACCCACAGUCCUCUCCUGCUGCCCUCUGGCUCCCAUCAGCCCCUGCUCUGCGCUCCCAUCAUACUCCAGUGAUGCACUGAUUGUUCCAGGAGCUGCUGACAGACAGACAGGAAGUGACAUCACAGCCUGAGUCUGUACAGAGACCCUACAGGCUCAGUGUGAUGUCAUCUAACAGAACCAAUCAGGAUAGAGCAUCGGGCUGAGGAAGAGGAGGGAGCUGAUCUCAAGUUUUCAAGUUCAACCUGAGGCC